AAGUCGUAACAAGGUUUCCGUAGGUGAACCUGCGGAAGGAUCAUUAACACGUAUCCAACGUUAAACCCCUCCCCUCAAUUUCGGUCUUUUGGCAAUCUCUGGUAAAUCAUCGCCGAACAGUUUUGAUUCAGAGACAUCCAAAGGGCCGGGGUAGGGUAUUGAAGUAGUUGUCCCAUGCAAGCAGCCUGGUUUCUUGGAAGCAGAAAGUGUGAUAGAAGAUGUCGGAGAACGGACCGAGUGGUAGUUCGAAGAUGACUUCUGUCGCGCGCUGUGAAAAAGAAGACGCUUUACGAAUCACUGACCAACACGGCCAGUGACCGGGUUCCUGGGUCCUAGACCCCCUGAUCACCCCGACAGUCGCAGACGCGGGUAGGGAUACGUCCUUACCAAAAAAUAAAUACUUGAACAACUGUUAACAAUGGAUAUCUUGGUUCUC
This 436-nucleotide unclassified non-coding RNA is filed under the name fungal sp. RNAcentral describes it as "partial internal transcribed spacer region". The stretch from base 1 to 46 matches the Rfam family "Eukaryotic small subunit ribosomal RNA", at positions 1786 to 1831 of the family's 1831-position model. Lineage: Eukaryota; Fungi. The record is from RNAcentral.